GAUGGGCGCGGUGGCGCGUGCCUGUAGUCCCAGCUACUCAGGAGGCUGAGGCUGGAGGAUCUCUUGAGCCCAGGAGUCCUGGGCUUUAGUGCGCUAUGCCGAUUGGCAUCAAUAUGGUGACCUCCCAGGAGCAGAGGACCACCAGAUUGCCUAAGGAGGGGUGAACCAGCCCAGGUCAGAAACGGAGAAGGUCAAAACUCCUGUGCUGAUCGUGCCUGUGAAUAGCCACUGCACUCCAGCCUGGGCAACGUAGGAAGACCCUGCGUCUU
Molecule: unclassified non-coding RNA, 269 nt
Organism: Callithrix jacchus (white-tufted-ear marmoset)
Lineage: Eukaryota; Metazoa; Chordata; Mammalia; Primates; Cebidae
Rfam family: Metazoan signal recognition particle RNA
About the family: The signal recognition particle (SRP) is a universally conserved ribonucleoprotein. It is involved in the co-translational targeting of proteins to membranes.
Source: Ensembl